GUUCUGUAAGCCUGUGAAGGUGGCCUGUGAGGGUUGCUGGAGGUAUCAGAAGUGCGAAUGCUGACAUAAGUAACGAUAAAGCGGGUGAAAAGCCCGCUCGCCGGAAGACCAAGGGUUCCUGUCCAACGUUAAUCGGGGCAGGGUGAGUCGACCCCUAAGGCGAGGCCGAAAGGCGUAGUCGAUGGGAAACAGGUUAAUAUUCCUGUACUUGGUGUUACUGCGAAGGGGGGACGGAGAAGGCUAUGUUGGCCGGGCGACGGUUGUCCCGGUUUAAGCGUGUAGGCUGGUUUUCCAGGCAAAUCCGGAAAAUCAAGGCUGAGGCGUGAUGACGAGGCACUACGGUGCUGAAGCAACAAAUGCCCUGCUUCCAGGAAAAGCCUCUAAGCAUCAGGUAACAUCAAAUCGUACCCCAAACCGACACAGGUGGUCAGGUAGAGAAUACCAAGGCGCUUGAGAGAACUCGGGUGAAGGAACUAGGCAAAAUGGUGCCGUAACUUCGGGAGAAGGCACGCUGACACGUAGGUGAAGUGAUUUACUCAUGGAGCUGAAGUCAGUCGAAGAUACCAGCUGGCUGCAACUGUUUAUUAAAAACACAGCACUGUGCAAACACGAAAGUGGACGUAUACGGUGUGACGCCUGCCCGGUGCCGGAAGGUUAAUUGAUGGGGUCAGCGCAAGCGAAGCUCCUGAUCGAAGCCCCGGUAAACGGCGGCCGUAACUAUAACGGUCCUAAGGUAGCGAAAUUCCUUGUCGGGUAAGUUCCGACCUGCACGAAUGGCGUAAUGAUGGCCAGGCUGUCUCCACCCGAGACUCAGUGAAAUUGAACUCGCUGUGAAGAUGCAGUGUACCCGCGGCAAGACGGAAAGACCCCGUGAACCUUUACUAUAGCUUGACACUGAACAUUGAGCCUUGAUGUGUAGGAUAGGUGGGAGGCUUUGAAGCGUGGACGCCAGUCUGCGUGGAGCCGACCUUGAAAUACCACCCUUUAAUGUUUGAUGUUCUAACGUGGACCCGUUACCCGGGUUGCGGACAGUGUCUGGUGGGUAGUUUGACUGGGGCGGUCUCCUCCUAAAGAGUAACGGAGGAGCACGAAGGUUGGCUAAUCCUGGUCGGACAUCAGGAGGUUAGUGCAAUGGCAUAAGCCAGCUUGACUGCGAGCGUGACGGCGCGAGCAGGUGCGAAAGCAGGUCAUAGUGAUCCGGUGGUUCUGAAUGGAAGGGCCAUCGCUCAACGGAUAAAAGGUACUCCGGGGAUAACAGGCUGAUACCGCCCAAGAGUUCAUAUCGACGGCGGUGUUUGGCACCUCGAUGUCGGCUCAUCACAUCCUGGGGCUGAAGUAGGUCCCAAGGGUAUGGCUGUUCGCCAUUUAAAGUGGUACGCGAGCUGGGUUUAGAACGUCGUGAGACAGUUCGGUCCCUAUCUGCCGUGGGCGCUGGAGAACUGAGGGGGGCUGCUCCUAGUACGAGAGGACCGGAGUGGACGCAUCACUGGUGUUCGGGUUGUCAUGCCAAUGGCACUGCCCGGUAGCUAAAUGCGGAAGAGAUAAGUGCUGAAAGCAUCUAAGCACGAAACUUGCCCCGA
RNAcentral lists this ribosomal RNA (1580 nucleotides) under Salmonella enterica. RNAcentral describes it as "partial 23S ribosomal RNA". It matches the Rfam family "Bacterial large subunit ribosomal RNA", at positions 1238 to 2802 of the family's 2925-position model. The record is from RNAcentral. Lineage: Bacteria; Pseudomonadati; Pseudomonadota; Gammaproteobacteria; Enterobacterales; Enterobacteriaceae.